AGAAUCAACGCUGGCGGCGUGCCUAACACAUGCAAGUCGAACGCGAGAGUCCCGCAAGGGACAAUUGAGUGGCAAACGGGUGAGUAACACGUGGGUGACCUGCCUUCGAGUGGGGGAUAACGUCCCGAAAGGGACGCUAAUACCGCAUGACAUCCUGCCUUUGGACAGGCGGAGAUCAAAGCCGGGGAUCGCAAGACCUGGCGCUUGGAGAGGGGCCCGCGGUCUGAUUAGCUAGUUGGUGAGGUAACGGCUCACCAAGGCGACGAUCAGUA
Molecule: ribosomal RNA, 272 nt
Filed under: uncultured soil bacterium
Lineage: Bacteria
Description: partial 16S ribosomal RNA
Rfam family: Bacterial small subunit ribosomal RNA
Source: RNAcentral